Molecule: ribosomal RNA, 484 nt
Filed under: uncultured bacterium
Lineage: Bacteria
Description: partial 16S ribosomal RNA
Rfam family: Bacterial small subunit ribosomal RNA
Source: RNAcentral
AUUGAACGCUGGCGGCAGGCCUAACACAUGCAAGUCGAGCGGAUGAAGGGAGCUUGCUCCUGGAUUCCGCGGCGGACGGGUGAGUAAUGCCUAUGAAUCUGCCUGGUAGUGGGGGAUAACGUCCGGAAACGGGCGCUAAUACUGCAUACGUCCUGAUGGAGAAAGUGGGGGAUCUUCGGACCUCACGCUAUCAGAUGAGCCUAGGUCGGAUUAGAUAGUUGGUGGGGUAAAGGCCUACCAAGGCGACGAUCCGUAACUGGUCUGCGAGAAUGAUCAGUCACACUGGAACUGAGACAGGGUCAAGACGCCUGAGAGAGGCAGCAGUGGGGAAUAUUGGGCAGUGGGGGAGAGCAUGGUACAGCCAGGGCGCGUGUGUGAAGAAGGUCUUCGGAUUGUAAAGCACGUUAAGGGGGGAGGAAGGGCAGUAAGUUAAGACCUAGCUGUUUUGACGUUACCAACAGAAUAAGCACCGGCUAACUUCGUG